UACGGAGGGUCCAAGCGUUAUCCGGAAUCAUUGGGUUUAAAGGGUCCGUAGGCGGUUUUGUAAGUCAGUGGUGAAAGCCCAUCGCUCAACGGUGGAACGGCCAUUGAUACUGCAAGACUUGAAUUAUUGAGAAGUAACUAGAAUAUGUAGUGUAGCGGUGAAAUGCUUAGAGAUUACAUGGAAUACCAAUUGCGAAGGCAGGUUACUACCAAUAUAUUGACGCUGAUGGACGAAAGCGUGGGGAGCGAACAGG
Molecule: ribosomal RNA, 253 nt
Filed under: uncultured bacterium
Lineage: Bacteria
Description: partial 16S ribosomal RNA
Rfam family: Bacterial small subunit ribosomal RNA
Source: RNAcentral